Molecule: ribosomal RNA, 253 nt
Filed under: uncultured bacterium
Lineage: Bacteria
Description: partial 16S ribosomal RNA
Rfam family: Bacterial small subunit ribosomal RNA
Source: RNAcentral
UACGUAGGGUGCGAGCGUUAAUCGGAAUUACUGGGCGUAAAGCGUGCGCAGGCGGUUUUGUAAGCCAGAUGUGAAAUCCCCGGGCUCAACCUGGGAAUGGCAUUUGGGACUGCAAGGCUGGAGUACGGCAGAGGAGACUGGAAUUCCUGGUGUAGCAGUGAAAUGCGUAGGUAUCAGGAGGAAUACCGAUGGCGAAGGCAGGUCUCUGGGCUGAUACUGACGCUCAUGCACGAAAGCGUGGGGAGCAAACAGG